RNAcentral lists this ribosomal RNA (305 nucleotides) under uncultured bacterium. Its description in RNAcentral is "bacterial SSU rRNA". It matches the Rfam family "Bacterial small subunit ribosomal RNA", at positions 335 to 657 of the family's 1533-position model. The record is from RNAcentral.
UGGCCUACGGGGGGCAGCAGUGGGGAAUAUUGCACAAUGGGGGAAACCCUGAUGCAGCGACGCCGCGUGAAGGAAGAGGUAUUUCGGUAUGUAAACUUCUAUCAGCAGGGAAGAAAGUGACGGUACCUGACUAAGAAGCCCCGGCUAACUACGUGCCAGCAGCCGCGGUAAUACGUAGGGGGCAAGCGUUAUCCGGAUUUACUGGGUGUAAAGGGAGCGUAGACGGCAGCGCAAGUCUGGAGUGAAAUGCCGGGGCCCAACCCCGGAACUGCUCUGGAAACUGUGAAGCUGGAGUGCAGGAGAGG